This 6067-nucleotide long non-coding RNA is filed under the name Zea mays. RNAcentral describes it as "long non-coding RNA (ZMAY_LNC001504)". The record is from RNAcentral. Lineage: Eukaryota; Viridiplantae; Streptophyta; Magnoliopsida; Poales; Poaceae.
ACAUAGAUAUACAAAUUUAAUUAGUAUUGCACAAUGAUAGAUCCACAUCACAUAAACCAUCAACAAGCACCACAACAAAAUCAUUCACAAAACCUACACAUGUUAUUAUGUUUUGCACAUAUUUGCAAACACUUUACAAAAUCAUUCACAAAAGUACUAACGCUUCAAGUGAUUCACAAAAGCCUUCACAAAAGCACUCCAAAUUCUUGUAUCCUCUUGUUUUAAGGCACAAGCUUGUAGGGGUUGUGAUGUCGCCACUUACUUGAUGCUAACAAGACAUUUCCUUCACCAAAGCCAUCUUCAACACUUCGCCCAUAAAAAAAGAUCAAUUCUCAUUUUCAAUUGCCUGCAAGACAAGUGAUAAUUGCAAUAAGUAAAUUAUAAUCUACAUUUAUAUAAUCUAGACUACCAAACAACUACAUAUAGUAGAUUAUAAUAUGGAUUAUAUAAUUUAGAUUAUAAUCUAGAUUAUAUAAUCUAUAAGCUGAAACAAACGGGUCCUAAGGCAAUGCAGGCACGAUAAAUUCAGCAUAACAUAAAGGCAGUUCUUCAACAUCAGAGAGCACAAUAUUCUCAGUCAGCUCCCUUUAACACAACAAAAUCUUAAACAAGAGCUUCCUAGCUUUUGCAGAGCUCUAUCCUCCACAAGCCGGUCAUGAUACAACAUUACACACUUAGGUAAAUUUACAGAAGCUAUUAUAGAGUACUGAGUACUUACCUUAUAUUCAUCAAUUGCAUCUUGAGCAAAAUCGAUAUCUGUAUCUUUUUCCCUGAAACAACGCACCAACAGCAAGGUCAGUCAGACUAAUGCAUACUAAUUAAACAGUAAAGGUGUAUUCCUAUUUCCUACAAUAAAAAAUCAACAUCCACCAGAUAGAAUAUAAAAUGUAUGAAAGAUCAUCACAUAUAAUCAUACUCUGAAUCAACAGAGGUAGAGAUAUUGUGUAUAUGAUCAAAGCUCAUCCAUGUGCAAAACAAUAAUCAUAACCAUAAAACAGGAUACCAUGCCAUGAAAAUUACCAGGUAGAUUCUGCAUAAGGAAGUCCUUGCCAUUUGACUAAAUAUUCAGGAACCAGAUCAUCUCCAUCAGCUUUGCUGACCCUAUCAGCAAAUAUCCGCUCAACCUGAAGAUUUAAUGUCAGAAGAUAUGCAAAGCGACAAUGAAUAUGUUAGCAUAACCAGAGAAACAUAUCAAAUUAAUGCCAAUAUGUUGCCAAGUAAAGAAGCCUACGGAUGCAAGCCAAUAUCACACCAUAAUCACUAAUUAAUAGCAGCAAAUUUAACCUAACAAUGACUUAAUUUUGAACAUCGUAAAAAGAACUACUGUGUAAAAAAACAGGGACCUUCCAUACAGAAAGAGGCACCAACAUUUCCUUUACAUUUUUAAGUUUUAUCACAGUGGAUUUUCAUAUCUGGAUGCUGAGAUAUAAAAGGUGACAUGCUUCAAUUCAUGUUAAACUUGAAAUUGUUAUCUAGUGGUUUACCUCUUCACGUGAUAGUGCCCUCUUGUACCUCUGUUCCUCAGCAACUCUUUUCGUGUAAUUUAUUACCUUCUUGAAUCCACUAACCUGUCAUGUAGGGGUUACAUGAGUGAAAGCAGAUUUAGAAAGAACAAAGACAAAGGAUUAAGCAGAUUUAGAAACGGCCGCAGUAAAGCUCCAUUACAUGCGAUGAAGAACGGACAGCGGGGUUCGUCGGUUGGCCUUCGGUUGGCGCUGGCUCGGAGUCGGGGGAGCAGGGGCACGCGGCUUCAGGUGCGCCGGCAUCUUGGGCGCGGUUCCUGGCUCGUUGAUGGCGCUCCACUCUCUGCUCGGCUCGGCGCCCCGUUAGCUGCUCUGGUGCGGCGGGCGGUGGCCUGGGUGCUCGGGCGCUCGGCGCACCGCUCGGCCGACCUAGGUGCUCGACGCCCCGCUCGGCCGUGGCCUGGUGGUUGGCGGCUGGCCGUGGAGCCAUGGUCCGUGGAGAGUGGAGAACAGCAGCAGCUAGCGGCGGCUGGUGGGCUUGGCGGCUAGGGUUAGAAGGACAGGAGAAGGUGCUAGGAGGCUAGGGGGCUGGGGGUUUUCCGCUGGGAAUUGGGGAUGCGGCUAGGUGGCUAGGGGCUUGGCGGCUAGGGCUAGCGGCGGGUAGGUUUUGUUUUUUUUUUCUUUUUUUAUUUCUUUUUCUAAAUUUGAAAUACAUUUUUAAAUAAUCCUAAAAUUCAUAGUAAUUAAACCAAAUUAUUUAUAAAUAAAAUAUUAAUUUUUGUGCUAAUAAUAUUAUAUUUUUUUUAUUUACUAGGAUUUUUAUUUAAGAAGAAAUGUUAUUCAAUAACCAAAAAUCAAUCAUGCGCAAUAAAAAAUUUAUUCUAAAUGCAAAUACAAAACAAACACUUAAAAUAAAAUUCAUUACCAUAAAUAUCAUUAAUAACUAAAUGCAUUAUUUUUAUUUUAUGAUUUUUAUAGUGUUAUAGUUUUCUUUUCCAUAAUUCUUUUUUCUUUUUUACAAUUCUUUUUUUCUUUACUACAAUUUAGCGAUCAAUGUUUACUUAUUUUAAUUAAUUUUUAGUCACUAACAUCUACAGGUACGUUCAGGCUAUAAGAUUUGAUAGUGAUCCUUGCUCUAUAGCGACCCACCGCUAGUCCCCCGACGACAUCUACAGCGACCAACCAUAAGUUGUUAAAUUCUAGACUUUUAGCGACCAACCGACCGUUGCUACAAAAGGAUUUAGCGACUGACCGUCGGUCCCUAACCUUUAGCAACCAACAGUUGGUACCUAAUAAGGGUCGCUAAAGAUCAAUCGUCGUGUAAUGUAUGCUUUAAAGUGUAUUUCUAUACUUAGUCUUAGAUUGGAAGGGAAAAUGGAGUAUUCGGCAAAGACAAGGUUUCCACUCCAACUCUGAUGGUAUCAUUUACCCUUUGUCGUUGCUCCUACAACUCUCAAUGGUACGAACCUUCAUUUGUAUUUAUUUUACUAUUUGGGAGAAGGUAUUAGGCCCCAAAGGGGGAGAAAAGUUGCAAGUGGGCUCUCAAGUUCUCCGUUUUUGGCGAUUAAUGCCAAAGGGGAGAAAGUAUUUAGCCCAAAGCAAAAGGACCGCACCACCACCACCAUUUCAAAAUUUCAAAAAUAAGUAUUCCAAUUGGUAUUUGAUCAAAAUGAAUUUUCAAUUGGUAUGUGAAGUGAAUUUCUCAAUUGGUAUCUCAUUUGGUAUUUCAAAAUUGUUUUUCAAAUGGGUAUCUUCAAAACUUCACAUUAGUAUGAAAGAUUUCAAUUGGUAUAAUUUCACUUGGUAUCUAUUUCAAAACCCUCUUGAAAGCUAAGGGGAAAAUUUCAUUCAGGGGGAGCUUUUAUUUAGUCAAAGCAAAAGCAUUUGAAAUAGGGGAAGGAAUUUCAAAUCUUAAAAAUGCUUCUUGCAAUCUUAUUCCUAUACCUUUGACUAUUUGCAAAAGAAUUUUUGAAAGGAUUUUUCCAAAAGAUUUGCAAAAAUAAACAUGUGGUGCAAAUGUGGUCCAAAAUUUUAAAUAAGGAAAAGCAAUUCAUUCAUUCUUAGUCAUAUAUUUAAAGUCUUUCAAUUGGUUUAACUCCAAGCAACCUAUGCACAUCUAUCUCAAUUGCUUUGGUUUGUGUUGGCAUCAAUCACCAAAAAUGGGGAGAUUGAAAGGGAAAUAGGGUUAACUAUUUCCUAUAAUUGAUUUUGGUGGUUGACAUCCAACAUAAACCACAUGGACUAACUAGUUUGUCUAGAUAUCAUCUAUUACAGGUGCAUAAGGUUCAACACAAACCAAGAAAGAAAUCCAGUUAGGGACACAAUCAAAAUUGGAGCAAAGAACUAGAGUGUGCUGAAUUUUUGCGCACCAGAUAGUGUCCGGUGUACCAGACCGUACAACAUAUGAACCAGCCAUUCUCAGGAAUUCCAGGGGCACGCUCCGCUAUAAUUCACCGGACUGUCCGGUGAGUCAGCGGAGCAACGGCUCCCUGUGUGCCAACGGUCGACUGUAGAAGCUACAGUGAACUACAGUAUUGUGGCAGAAGUCAGAGGGCACCGGACUAUCCGGUGCAGCAAGACGACAAGCAACUCCAACUGUCAACUACUUCGAACCCUAACGGUUGCGCUAAUGUGGCGCGAACCGGACAGUGCACAGUGGCUGUCCGGUGGCGCACCGGACUGUCCGGUGCGCCCAUCGCCAGCAGCCUUUGCCAACGACUAGGAAUUGGUUGGGGAAACCACCUCAUUCAUUGCCAUCCAAGUUUUCUAAAGAUCACAUUCAAUACAAGAGCUAGAACAUUCACUCCAAGACAAAAUUCCAAAGAUCAAACCCUCUUUAAGUGCCAAAUUCAUCUCAACCACUUAGUGACUUGAGAGAGAGUGAUUUUGUGUUCAUUUUUUGUGGUCCUUGCGAGGUCUUAGUGACCCGUGAGAUUAAGGAAAAGGCUCACUCGGUCUAAGUGACCGUUUGAGAGAGAGGGAAAGGGUUGGAAUAGACCCGACCUUUGUGGCCUCCUCAACGGGGACUAGGUUCUUUGGAACCGAACCUCGAUAAAACAAAUCACCAUGUCUAAUCGCUUUGAUUCUCGCUUGAUUUGUUUGCCCUCUUUCCUCUCUCUCUAACAUUUCCUUGCUAGCAUUAAUUUGAGUUUGCUACCAUACGUCAUCUGCACUCUUUGAGCAACUCCUAGCAAGAGAAACAAUCUUUCGGGCUUGAGUUUAAUUCUAACGCUAACCCUGGCCUUUAGUGUGUGUUUAAGUUAUAAAUUUCAGGUUUCGCCUAUUCACCCCCCUCUAGGCGACUUUCACUUGCGAAUACUAUGGUGAAGUCUGGGUCGCGAGAACAGGGCUGAGACGGGCAGACGGCGGAGGGGGGGAAGGUCCCUGGUAUCUUGGGCUUCAAAGAAACAAAACUCCGUAGCUCUUUCCACCUUCGAAGCCGAGUACAUUGCCAUAGGACAUUGUUGUGCGCAAUUAUUUUGGAUGAGGCAAACCCUUAGGGACUAUGGCUACAAGUUGAGCAAAGUCCCUCUCCUAUGUGAUAAUGUGAGUGCAAUCCGCAUGGCGGAUAAUCCCGUUGAACAGAGCCGCACUAAGCACAUAGACAUCUGGUAUCACUUUUUGAGAGAUCACCAACAAAAGGGGGAUAUCAAAAUAGCUUAUGUGAGCACCCACAACCAAUUAGCUGAUAUCUUUACCAAACCACUAGAUGAGAAAACCUUUAGCAAACUCAGGAAUGAGCUAAAUAUACUUGAUUCUCGGAACUUUGAUUGAAACAUUGCACACAUAGCUCAUGUAUAUACCUUUGAUCAUGUCUAUUUCAUUUGGUGCAAAUACAUAUUUCUUAUUCUUCUUGUGCCAAGGCUAAGACUAAAAUCACUACACGACGGUUCACUUACAGCGACCUACGGUUGGUUGCUAAAACGGCCUUCAGCGACCUAUGGUUGGUCGCUAAAAACUUUUAGCGACCCAUAUGGAUGGUCGAUGUAAGUGCCGUCGCUAAAGGCUUUAGCGACCGACAUCUUUUUAGCGACCGACCGUCCGUUGCUAAUAUUAUAUAUUUAGCGACCAACCGUGGGUUGUUGUACUAUAGAUUUAGCAACCAAUCGUGAGUCGUUAUACUAUACAUUUAGCAACCAACAGAAAGUUACCCCUAAUUAUAGUCGUUAAUAAUGAUAAUAUACCAUUAAUUAGCAUUCAACAACUGUUAUAUAUACAAAAGCAUCACAAAUCACCAAUUUUUAUACACAUAAUCACAUAGAUAUACAAAUUUAAUUAGUAUUGCACAAUGAUAGAUCCACAUCACAUAAACCAUCAACAAGCACCACAACAAAAUCAUUCACAAAACCUACACAUGUUAUUAUGUUUUGCACAUAUUUGCAAACACUUUACAAAAUCAUUCACAAAAGUACUAACGCUUCAAGUGAUUCACAAAAGCCUUCACAAAAGCACUCCAACUUCUUGUAUCCUCUUGUUUUAAGGCACAAGCUUGUAGGGGUUGUGAUGUCGCCACUUACUUGAUGCUAACAAGACAUUUCCUUCACCAAAGCCAUCUUCAACACUUCGCCCAUAAAAAAAGAUCAAUUCUCAUUUUCAAUUGCCUG